GCCGGAGUGGUGAAACUGGUAGACGCACUGGACUCAAAAUCCAGCGGGCCUCGCGCCCGUGUCGGUUCGAUUCCGACCUCCGGCACCA
RNAcentral lists this transfer RNA (88 nucleotides) under Desulfobulbaceae bacterium. RNAcentral describes it as "tRNA-Leu". It matches the Rfam family "tRNA". Rfam says of the family: Transfer RNA (tRNA) molecules are approximately 80 nucleotides in length. Their secondary structure includes four short double-helical elements and three loops (D, anti-codon, and T loops). Lineage: Bacteria; Pseudomonadati; Thermodesulfobacteriota; Desulfobulbia; Desulfobulbales; Desulfobulbaceae. The record is from RNAcentral. RNAcentral also lists the same sequence under 1 other name.